RNAcentral lists this ribosomal RNA (254 nucleotides) under uncultured bacterium. RNAcentral describes it as "partial 16S ribosomal RNA". It matches the Rfam family "Bacterial small subunit ribosomal RNA", at positions 524 to 776 of the family's 1533-position model. The record is from RNAcentral.
GACGUAGGGAGCAAGCGUUGUCCGGAUUUACUGGGCGUAAAGAGUUCGUAGGCGGUCUAUUAAGUGUGAAGUGAAAUCCCCAGCGCUCAACGCGGGAACUGCUUCGCAUACUGGCAGACUUGAGGAUUGGAGAGGUAACUGGAAUUCCUGGUGUAGCGGUGACAUGCAUUGAUAUCAGGAGGAACACCAAAGGCGAAGGCAGGUUACUGGCCAAUAUCUGACGCUGAGGAACGAAAGCGUGGGUAGCAAACAGA